Molecule: ribosomal RNA, 328 nt
Filed under: uncultured eukaryote
Lineage: Eukaryota
Description: partial 18S ribosomal RNA
Rfam family: Eukaryotic small subunit ribosomal RNA
Source: RNAcentral
CCCUUAGAUGUUCUGGGCUGCACGCGCGCUACACUGAAGCGUUCAACGAGUAUUCACCUUGCCCGGGAGGGUUGGGUAAUCUUUUGAAAACGCUUCGUGAUGGGGAUAGAUUAUUGCAAUUAUUAAUCUUCAACGAGGAAUGCCUAGUAAGCGCAAGUCAUCAGCUUGCGUUGAUUACGCCCCUGCCCUUUGUACACACCGCCCGUCGCUCCUACCGAUUGAAUGGUCCGGUGAAGCGUUCGGACCGUGGCCUUUGGACGGUUCGCCGUCUGUUGGCUGCGGGAAGUUCGUUAAACCUUAUCAUUUAGAGGAAGGAGAANUCGUAACA